Molecule: long non-coding RNA, 176 nt
Organism: Megalobrama amblycephala (Wuchang bream)
Lineage: Eukaryota; Metazoa; Chordata; Actinopteri; Cypriniformes; Xenocyprididae
Exons: 3
Source: RefSeq, a predicted model, not a curated record
AGGCUGUGGCCACUUCCUGUCUGCAGGUGUCCAUGUGUGCGGUACGAGCCGCUGCCGUCCUGCUCAGGCCGAAUCAUCAGUCCAGUCCGGUUCAAUACUCAGACGUCAGGAGAGUCGUGGAGGCCGUGAUGUCCAAGUGCAGAGAGAGCUGCUCUGGUCCUGAGUCAGUGUCAGCA